RNAcentral lists this long non-coding RNA (898 nucleotides) under Manacus vitellinus (golden-collared manakin). RNAcentral describes it as "lncRNA (ENSMVIG00005001685.1)". Lineage: Eukaryota; Metazoa; Chordata; Aves; Passeriformes; Pipridae. The record is from RNAcentral.
UUUCCGGCCCUUGCGGCCGGGCUCCCAUCCCUGUCCCCAGAGUUGGUAACCUCCUCUCUCGAGACGCUGUGGUAAUGGGAGAGAGGCUGUUUUCCUCGGCGGAAGAACACGGAGGGGCUCUACAACAACCGUGAGGGGAUUUACAGCAUCCCUUCCCCAGAAGAACAAAACUACUUGGAGGGAAAGGAUAUCUGUCAAAGAUAGUGUGACCAAGGAGCCCAUGGCACCUGUGCAGAUUCUUUUAACUGGAUGUUGCAAAAAAUAAUUGAAGAACAGAAUAUAUUUUCGUAAUUGAAAGAUCUGGCUGAAGACUUGAGGUCAGUAUCUCUGCAGAAAUAAGCUUUUCUUUUGUUCCACUCUUUACCUAAGUAAUUUUGUGAACCCAUUGUUUCCUGGAAGCAGUGUGUCUCCAGUGAAUCUGAAAUGGAGAUGUUUAAGUGGAGGUUCCUGUAAAAGGCAUUUUGCCUCUGUGGUUCUCCUGUCUCUGUUAUAAAUCGAUUCAGACAUACUGAGGCACAUAAAAGAGAGGGGGUGGAAUUUUCUGGCUGGAGCUCAGAGUUGGUGCUUCAGCAUAAGCUUUGUCUGGUAGAACUGACUUUAAAACCCACUAGAACGCAGCCAUCCCUGGGGGGGGUGUAGCAGUUACUUGAAAGUGACUUUUAUGUGACUGAAAAAGGCACAAAGGAAAUAAGUAAUAGUCCAGAGGUGGAAUUUGAUAACUCUGAAAUGUUUUCAAAGCUGACAGGCAUUCUGGAAUGAUUUGUGAACCGCUGUUCUUUGAAACAAAAUGUACUGUCCAUUGUUUGUGGAGAUGAGGACAGACAGUCCCACCAGAGGCAGUACCUGACUGUAAACCUGAUGCUUCAUCUCUGUUUUACUUGCUAUGACAGGAGAAUGC